CCUACGGGUGGCAGCAGUGGGGAAUAUUGGGCAAUGGAGGCAACUCUGACCCAGCAAUGCCGCGUGAGUGAUGAAGGUAAUUUUAUUGUAAAGCUCUUUUCUUUGGAACGAAUAAAUGACGGUACCAAAGGAAUAAGCCCCGGCUAACUACGUGCCAGCAGCCGCGGUAAUACGUAGGGGGCAAGCGUUAUCCGGAUUUACUGGGUGUAAAGGGAGCGUAGACGGCAUGGGAAGUCUGAAGUGAAAGCCCGGGGCUCAACCACGGGACUGCUUUGGAAACUGUUAAGCUGGUGUGCAGGAGAGGUAAGUGGAAUGCCUAGUGUAGCGGUGAAAUGCGUAGAUAUUAGGAGGAACACCAGUGGCGAAGGCGGCUUACUGGACUGUAACUGACGUUGAGGCUCGAAAGCGUGGGGAGCAAACAGGAUUAGAUACCCGAGUAGUC
Molecule: ribosomal RNA, 442 nt
Filed under: uncultured bacterium
Lineage: Bacteria
Description: partial 16S ribosomal RNA
Rfam family: Bacterial small subunit ribosomal RNA
Source: RNAcentral